This is a non-coding RNA of Stegodyphus mimosarum, 73 nucleotides long. NCBI's taxonomy places the organism in Eukaryota, Metazoa, Arthropoda, Arachnida, Araneae, Eresidae. The record is from Rfam.
GCCUUCGUAGUGUAGUGGUCUGCAUGCUCGACGCAUAACCGAGAGGUCCGUGGUUCGACUCCCGGCGAAGGCG